CCUACGGGUGGCUGCAGUAAGGAAUAUUGCGCAAUGGACGAAAGUCUGACGCAGCAACGCCGCGUGCAGGAUGAAGGCCCUUUGGGUUGUAAACUGCUGUAGAAAGGGAAUAAUAGUUUGCCACGGGUAAACUUGAAGGUACCUUUAAAGUAAGCGCCGGCUAACUACGUGCCAGCAGCCGCGGUAAUACGUAGGGCGCAAGCGUUGUCCGGAUUCACUGGGUGUAAAGGGUGCGCAGGCGGAUUGGCAAGUCAGAGGUGAAAUCUCACGGCUCA
RNAcentral lists this ribosomal RNA (275 nucleotides) under uncultured bacterium. Its description in RNAcentral is "partial 16S ribosomal RNA". It matches the Rfam family "Bacterial small subunit ribosomal RNA", at positions 338 to 611 of the family's 1533-position model. The record is from RNAcentral.